This 1109-nucleotide non-coding RNA is filed under the name Drosophila simulans. RNAcentral's name for it is "Eukaryotic large subunit ribosomal RNA". It matches the Rfam family "Eukaryotic large subunit ribosomal RNA", at positions 251 to 1191 of the family's 3401-position model. The record is from Rfam by way of RNAcentral. Lineage: Eukaryota; Metazoa; Arthropoda; Insecta; Diptera; Drosophilidae.
UCGCCACUGUGGUGGAUUCUUGCUUGAUAGUGCAGCACUAAGUGGGUGGUAAACUCCAUCUAAAACUAAAUAUAACCAUGAGACCGAUAGUAAACAAGUACCGUGAGGGAAAGUUGAAAAGAACUCUGAAUAGAGAGUUAAACAGUACGUGAAACUGCUUAGAGGUUAAGCCCGAUGAACCUGAAUAUCCGUUAUGGAAAAUUCAUCAUUAAAAUUGUAAUAUUUAAAUAAUAUUAUUAAGAAUAAUGUGCAUUUUUUCCAUAUAAGGACAUUGUAAUCUAUUAGCAUAUCCCAAAUUUAUCAUAAAAUAUAACUUAUAGUUUAUUCCAAUUAAAUUGCUUGCAUUUUAACACAGAAUAAAUGUUAUUAAUUUGAUAAAGUGCUGAUAGAUUUAUAUUAUUACAGAGCGUUAAUUUUUCGGAAUUAUAUAAUGGCAUAAUUAUCAUUGAUUUUUGUGUUUAUUAUAUGCUCUUGUAUGAUUAACAAUGCGAAAGAUUCAGGAUACCUUCGGGACCCGUCUUGAAACACGGACCAAGGAGUCUAACAUAUGUGCAAGUUAUUGGGAUGUAAACCUAAUAGCGUAAUUAACUUGACUAAUAAUGGGAUUAGUUUUUUAGCUAUUUAUAGCUAAUUAACACAAUCCCGGGGCGUUCUAUAUAGUUAUGUAUAAUGUAUAUUUAUAUUAUUUAUGCCUCUAACUGGAACGUACCUUGAGCAUAUAUGCUGUGACCCGAAAGAUGGUGAACUAUACUUGAUCAGGUUGAAGUCAGGGGAAACCCUGAUGGAAGACCGAAACAGUUCUGACGUGCAAAUCGAUUGUCAGAAUUGAGUAUAGGGGCGAAAGACCAAUCGAACCAUCUAGUAGCUGGUUCCUUCCGAAGUUUCCCUCAGGAUAGCUGGUGCAUUUUAAUAUUAUAUAAAAUAAUCUUAUCUGGUAAAGCGAAUGAUUAGAGGCCUUAGGUCGAAACGAUCUUACCUAUUCUCAACUUUAAAUGGGUAAGACCUUAACUUUCUUGAUAUGAAGUUCAGGUAUGAUAUAUGUGCCCAGUGGGCCACUUUGGUAAGCAGACUGGCGCUGUGGGAUGACCAAACGUAAUGUACCGUGCCCA